UUCCGGUUGAUCCCGCCGGACCUGACUGCUAUCGGAUUGAUACUAAGCCAUGCGAGUCUUUGUAGUAAUACAAGGCAGACGGCUCAGUAACGCGUAGUCAACCUACCCUAUGGACGGGAAUAAUCCCGGGAAACUGAGGAUAAUACCCGGCGUACCACCAUUCCUGGAAUGGUUGGUGGUUAAAAUGAUUCGUCGCCGUAGGAUGGGACUGCGACCUAUCAGCUUGUUGGUGAGGUAAAGGCCCACCAAGGCGAUUACAGGUACGGGCUCUGAGAGGAGAAGCCCGGAGAUGGGUACUGAGACACGGACCCAGGCCCUAUGGGGCGCAGCAGGCGAGAAAACUUUGCAAUGUGCGAAAGCACGACAAGGUUAAUCCGAGUGAUUUCUGCUAAAGGAAUCUUUUGCCAGUUCUAAAAAUACUAGUGAAUAAGGGGUGGCAAGUUCUGGUGUCAGCCGCCGCGGUAAAACCAGCACCUCAAGUGGUCAGGAGGAUUAUUGGGCCUAAAGCAUCCGUAGCCUGCUCUGUAAGUUUUCGGUUAAAUCUAUAUGCUCAACGUAUAGGCUGCCGAAAACACUGCAGUGCUAGGAAGUGGGAGAGGUAGACGGUACUUGAUAGGAAGGGGUAAAAUCCUUUGAUCUAUCGAUGACCACCUGUGGCGAAGGCGGUCUACCAGAACACGUUCGACGGUGAGGGAUGAGAGCUGGGGGAGCAAGCCGGAUUAGAUACCCGGGUAGUCCCAGCUGUAAACGAUGCAGACUCGAUGAUGCAUUGGCAUAUAGCCAGUGCAGUGUCGCAGGGAAGCCGUUAAGUCUGCCGCCUGGGAAGUACGUACGCAAGUAUGAAACUUAAAGGAAUUGGCGGGGGAGCACCACAAGGGGUGAAGCCUGCGGUUCAAUUGGAAUCAACGCCGGA
This 913-nucleotide ribosomal RNA is filed under the name uncultured archaeon. Its description in RNAcentral is "bacterial SSU rRNA". It matches the Rfam family "Archaeal small subunit ribosomal RNA", at positions 1 to 922 of the family's 1478-position model. The record is from RNAcentral.